GCGGGAGUGCGGGGCUUUUCAUGUCUCAGUAGUCACUGUAAUGAUUGCAGAUGGGAGCGCUGUGGGGGGGCCUGGAGCCCAGAGCUCUGUCAUUGUUGCAGGCUGGCAGGGCUGCCCUGACCCAUUACACUGGCUCUAUCCUCAGCCUCAUCUCAUCUGCCUCCCUCCCUUCCUCCCACAUGGGAGAGUAAUUGAAAAGUGUAUUUGGCAAAUUACACAUGUCUGGGUCUUGAAAAACUCUUUCAGUAUUCAGCUAUAGUCUACCUUCUUGUGCAGAGAAAUUGACAUUUCAAAAACACUUUGGGAAAAGUUGCGUCGCUGUUUCAGUGUGCUGGAUCAGAUUUAUGUAUGUAUGCGCCUGCACGGGUUUGAUUGCGUCUAAUUUGGUAGCGAGGGGAAAUCAUUUAUCCGUGGUGAUAGCCUUCCCUGGGGAAGACUCCAAUUGGACAGGGAUUAAUGAUGACGCGGCCACUGACUGGAAGUAAUACCUCUCGGAGAUUUACAACAUGGAGUUUUGAUAAACAGUAGACGGUUGCAGGUCCGUAUCGCAUCGAACUGCAUUUGUGAUGACAUGGAGAUUAGGAAUAAGAUUAACUUCUAACAGCUAUAAUAGCCUUAUCAACUGUCACUCCCUUUGAAAGGAAAGGAUUCAUCUUGAAUGGGAGAGAAGCCCGAUCACAACAAAUGGGAAAGAUAAAAUAAAAAUCCCACACCAUAAAAUGUCACGUUGACGUUAGUUCAAGAAAAUGUAGUCGAUACCGCCUUGAAAUAUUUUAACCAUCUAUAAUAUAUGUAGAAUAUCUAUUGAAAUGUUGUGUAUCCGCCUCGUUCCCCGGUUGUCGUUUGAGAUAUCUCUCUUGAGACUGUCACAGACUGAAAACAGGCCGUCAUAUCAAGUCAAAUCCUGCUGUGGACUUGAUCACUAUCAGCGGUGCUGAGCGCAACAGAGCUGUUCGGUAGUAGACCUAUGAUAUUAGUCAUGCCCUGAGUCCCCUAUUCCAGUUAGGUGACAACAAAACAAGAUUCGUUUGUGUCGUCAUCUUUUGGGUGUCAUAACACUACAAAAAACAGCUAUAAAACCAAAAGGCUCCUCACGGUGCUGCACUGUCCCUGGGUGGUGGAGAAGGCUCUGGCGGCAGGGGAUAGGGGUUACCACCAUGCUGUGUACAGAGCGCCGCUGGAUCCAGACACAUCACUACCUACAGGCUUCAAAAAGUGACGGACACGCCCCUCCGACUACGUGAUGUUCGCCCUCUCUCGCUGACUGUUUCCACAGGCCUUAUGUUUGAGGGUUACUUCAGGACGUGGGUGUCCCUUCAAACAACUUCCCCAGAGUCAGACGGGAGGCUGUGGAAGGAUUUCCGUUUGACAGAAGCCAAUCAACUGAGACCAUACGGGCCUUAAAGCCACAGUGGACUCUGAUGCCCACUUCACACAGCUCAAGGUGUUCCCUGGGUUGGUCCUAACCUACCUGCAGGAUGGGUUCGGCUGUGCAGAGGUGACCCCCCGCCACAGGGGGUGGCCGGAUACAGGGAAGCAGGCAGACACCAGUGGAACGCCAGAGGUCUGUGGAUGUGAUGUCAGUGACACCAAUCAUGGAGCAGUCCCAGCAGAACCCCCAGCCUCCCUUCAGGACAAGGGCCAGGCAGGGGCCAAGCAGACAGGGGCCUCCAAGGCAGGGGCCUCCAAGGCAGGGGCCUCCAAGGCAGGGGCCUCCAAGGCAGGAGCCAAGCAGGCAGGGGCCUACCAGGCAGGGGCCUGGGCCAGCAGGGAGAGAGCCCAGCUGUCAGUGGCCCUGCUGACAAAACUCAAAGACAAAACACCCUCAGGCUAUGUCUCAAAGGUAGGCCACUGCCCGGGUGCCUGCUGCUGACAUGGCUCACUGUUAUUGUUCAAUGACAUUCAAUGUUUUCCAUCAGUUUUCUGUAAGAUAGAUUCCUCAGAUAUCUUUUUGAAAUAUUUUUAAAAAGGCCUAGAGCUCGCUGACUGGCACGAAUUUAGAGAGAGACACAGGGCAAGGGAAGGAUAGAGAAAGAAAGAAAAACAGAGGAGAUAUCAGGGGAACUGGGAUUUAAUUUUCUUUUGGAGCAAAGAACUAAGACCUGAUGGAAUGUUCAACACCCUUGUAUUGUAAUAUGAUAUACUUUGACUGUCAGGGUCAGUCAACUAAUGUUAAUCCCCAAUAAGGUGAAUCAAAAUAAUCAUUUAUUUAAUGCUUUCUACUCUUUCUACUUCGUGAGGCUUGAUUGAGACUUUUCGAUAAUAUAGAGGCGUUGGCUGAGAUAGUUCCUAUCCCUAUCAAGAUACGGUACAUUAUAUUAUGAAUUCACCCAACCACAGAAAUAUCUGUGUGCGCUGUGUGAGCAUUAGCAUCACAGAGCUCUAACGUCCAAAGUAUGGUUAGGCUAAAUGAUCAUAAUCAGAGAGAACUCUGCCUCUGUCUGAGUGGAGAGAGACACCGUGGUCCGUAGUGCAUAAAGAGCCCUCACCCCCAACACACGUGCUCACACACACACACACACACACACACACACACACACACACACACACACACACACACACACACACAACGCCUUGCUCAGUUUCAACACUGUGCUUCCCCUACACAUCCCAGCCUCUUUAAUGCAAUUGAACAAUAUCAGAUUAGUCGCUUCACGAUUCAUUUACGAGCCCGUGUUAAAUCGUCGUCGCUCAGACAGUCAACAAGUAACGCAGCGCCAGCACUGCUGUGCCACUAGAUGACCUCACACGGCCCCAGAUGUGGCCCCAGAUGAAGACGGAUGUUUUUGUCGUGUUAAAUGGGUGUGUACCUGUAUACCUCAGCCCACUGCUCACUGAGCGCGGAGUAGGGGUUGGAGCAGGCUAGACCAUGUCUCGUUUGCAACUGAAGCCCAUUGCAUCGUGCUUUGAUCCGCUCACCCAGCCCCUCCACGUCCUCAUGCUCCAUUUGUCAUUGUUGUCGUUGCUGUGUGAAGGGAAACAUCUCCGUUAUAAAAUGCAACACACAACAGCUUUUCAUUGAGCCUCUCCCCGGAGGGGAAUAAUUAGAUUAUUCUGAUAAAGAGAAAUCUAUAAAUAUGAUCAAUCCCAAUCCAUUUUUAGAUAAAAGAGCAGGGGAAAUACAGUUAUGCUAUCUGCUCUAAUUGACCUCAUUUAGUAUAUGCAUAAAUCAUUAUUCUCAUCGUGGAUAUUAAAUGUAACGUGAAAUGAAACAUCUAAUGUCUAUCAAACAAACAAUUUCAGCGCCGUUUUCCUCUUGCAGAACUUUUAGGAAUGCAAUUUGCUCUCCGAAUGACCCUGUAUGAUUGUAUUUAAACAAUUACUGAAAAUGAAUUCUGCCAGGUUCAUUUAAAAAUCCAUAAGAUGAGCUGCCUUUUUAAUUGAUGUCGAUAAAUUGCGAGAAGCACAACAUUUUUAAGAAGCAGUUAUUUUAUUGUAAUUUUUUGGGGGGUCAACUUGUAUUUGAUUUGAUUGAACCUUUUAUUUAACUAGGCAAGUCAGUUAAGAACAAAAUCCUUAUUUACAAUGACCAAACCAGGACAUCGUUGGGCAAAUUGUGUUCUGCCCUCCCAAUCGCAGCCAGAUGUGAUUCAGCCUGGAUUUGAACCAGGGACCCCUCUUGCACUGAGAUACAGUGCCUUAGACCGCUGCACCGCUGUGAGAGUUCAACAAUCCCUCUUGUAUUUCUGGUUCCAUACUUUAAAUGUGUGUUAUUUUUGGCUACAUCACAAUGAAGCAGAAGACUUUAUUAAGUUCAUAAAGUAAGUUGAAUCUCAUGCCUCUAAAUGAAUACAACCUCUCCCGUAUAAUGAUAUUCCAAAUAAUAUAUGAGAACCAUUAUUCAUGUACAAAUGUUAAUUGCACUUGCAAAAUAAAUAAAAAAG
Long non-coding RNA from Oncorhynchus keta (chum salmon), 3884 nucleotides. RefSeq lists it as uncharacterized. The record is from RefSeq and is a predicted model, not a curated record. The transcript has 5 exons. NCBI's taxonomy places the organism in Eukaryota, Metazoa, Chordata, Actinopteri, Salmoniformes, Salmonidae.